GACACGGUCCAGACUCCUACGGGAGGCAGCAGUGGGGAAUAUUGCACAAUGGGCGCAAGCCUGAUGCAGCCAUGCCGCGUGUAUGAAGAAGGCCUUCGGGUUGUAAAGUACUUUCAGCAGUGAGGAAGGUGGUAGUGUUAAUAGCACUAUCAUUUGACGUUAGCUGCAGAAGAAGCACCGGCUAACUCCGUGCCAGCAGCCGCGGUAAUACGGAGGGUGCGAGCGUUAAUCGGAAUUACUGGGCGUAAAGCGCAUGCAGGUGGUUUGUUAAGUCAGAUGUGAAAGCCCGGGGCUCAACCUCGGAAUUGCAUUUGAAACUGGCAGACUAGAGUACUGUAGAGGGGGGUAGAAUUUCAGGUGUAGCGGUGAAAUGCGUAGAGAUCUGAAGGGAAUACCGGUGGCGAAGGCGGCCCCCUGGACAGAUACUGACACUCAGAUGCGAAAGCGUGGGGAGCAAACAGGAUUAGAUACCCUGGUAGUCCACGCCGUAAACGAUGUCUACUUGGAGGUUGUGGCCUUGAGCCGUGGCUUUCGGAGCUAACGCGUUAAGUAGACCGCCUGGGGAGUACGGUCGCAAGAUUAAAACUCAAAUGAAUUGACGGGGGCCCGCACAAGCGGUGGAGCAUGUGGUUUAAUUCGAUGCAACGCGAAGAACCUUACCUACUCUUGACAUCCUCAGAASAGACCGGAGACAGUCUUGUGCCUUCGGGAACUGAGAGACAGGUGCUGCAUGGCUGUCGUCAGCUCGUGUUGUGAAAUGUUGGGUUAAGUCCCGCAACGAGCGCAACCCUUAUCCUUGUUUGCCAGCGAGUAAUGUCGGGAACUCCAGGGAGACUGCCGGUGAUAAACCGGAGGAAGGUGGGGACGACGUCAAGUCAUCAUGGCCCUUACGAGUAGGGCUACACACGUGCUACAAUGGCGCAUACAGAGGGCGGCCAACUUGCGAAAGUGAGCGAAUCCCAAAAAGUGCGUCGUAGUCCGGAUUGGAGUCUGCAACUCGACUCCAUGAAGUCGGAAUCGCUAGUAAUCGUAGAUCAGAAUGCUACGGUGAAUACGUUCCCGGGCCUUGUACACACCGCCCGUCACACC
RNAcentral lists this ribosomal RNA (1089 nucleotides) under Vibrio sp. SFW. RNAcentral describes it as "bacterial SSU rRNA". It matches the Rfam family "Bacterial small subunit ribosomal RNA", at positions 323 to 1403 of the family's 1533-position model. Lineage: Bacteria; Pseudomonadati; Pseudomonadota; Gammaproteobacteria; Vibrionales; Vibrionaceae. The record is from RNAcentral.